GAUUAAGUUAUUAAGGGCGCACGGUGGAUGCCUUGGCACUAGAAGCCGAUGAAGGACGUUACUAACGACGAUAUGCUUUGGGGAGCUGUAAGUAAGCUUUGAUCCAGAGAUUUCCGAAUGGGGAAACCCAGCAUGAGUUAUGUCAUGUUAUCGAUAUGUGAAUACAUAGCAUAUCAGAAGGCACACCCGGAGAACUGAAACAUCUUAGUACCCGGAGGAAGAGAAAGAAAAUUCGAUUCCCUUAGUAGCGGCGAGCGAAACGGGAAGAGCCCAAACCAACAAGCUUGCUUGUUGGGGUUGUAGGACACUCUAUACGGAGUUACAAAGGACGACAUUAGACGAAUCAUCUGGAAAGAUGAAUCAAAGAAGGUAAUAAUCCUGUAGUCGAAAAUGUUGUCUCUCUUGAGUGGAUCCUGAGUACGACGGAGCACGUGAAAUUCCGUCGGAAUCUGGGAGGACCAUCUCCUAAGGCUAAAUACUCUCUAGUGACCGAUAGUGAACCAGUACCGUGAGGGAAAGGUGAAAAGCACCCCGGAAGGGGAGUGAAAUAGAACCUGAAACCGUGUGCUUACAAGUAGUCAGAGCCCGUUAAUGGGUGAUGGCGUGCCUUUUGUAGAAUGAACCGGCGAGUUACGAUUUGAUGCAAGGUUAAGCAGUAAAUGUGGAGCCGUAGCGAAAGCGAGUCUGAAUAGGGCGUUUAGUAUUUGGUCGUAGACCCGAAACCAGGUGAUCUACCCUUGGUCAGGUUGAAGUUCAGGUAACACUGAAUGGAGGACCGAACCGACUUACGUUGAAAAGUGAGCGGAUGAACUGAGGGUAGCGGAGAAAUUCCAAUCGAACCUGGAGAUAGCUGGUUCUCUCCGAAAUAGCUUUAGGGCUAGCCUCAAGUGAUGAUUAUUGGAGGUAGAGCACUGUUUGGACGAGGGGCCCCUCUCGGGUUACCGAAUUCAGACAAACUCCGAAUGCCAAUUAAUUUAACUUGGGAGUCAGAACAUGGGUGAUAAGGUCCGUGUUCGAAAGGGAAACAGCCCAGACCACCAGCUAAGGUCCCAAAAUAUAUGUUAAGUGGAAAAGGAUGUGGCGUUGCCCAGACAACUAGGAUGUUGGCUUAGAAGCAGCCAUCAUUUAAAGAGUGCGUAAUAGCUCACUAGUCGAGUGACACUGCGCCGAAAAUGUACCGGGGCUAAACAUAUUACCGAAGCUGUGGAUUGUCCUUUGGACAAUGGUAGGAGAGCGUUCUAAGGGCGUUGAAGCAUGAUCGUAAGGACAUGUGGAGCGCUUAGAAGUGAGAAUGCCGGUGUGAGUAGCGAAAGACGGGUGAGAAUCCCGUCCACCGAUUGACUAAGGUUUCCAGAGGAAGGCUCGUCCGCUCUGGGUUAGUCGGGUCCUAAGCUGAGGCCGACAGGCGUAGGCGAUGGAUAACAGGUUGAUAUUCCUGUACCACCUAUAAUCGUUUUAAUCGAUGGGGGGACGCAGUAGGAUAGGCGAAGCGUGCGAUUGGAUUGCACGUCUAAGCAGUAAGGCUGAGUAUUAGGCAAAUCCGGUACUCGUUAAGGCUGAGCUGUGAUGGGGAGAAGACAUUGUGUCUUCGAGUCGUUGAUUUCACACUGCCGAGAAAAGCCUCUAGAUAGAAAAUAGGUGCCCGUACCGCAAACCGACACAGGUAGUCAAGAUGAGAAUUCUAAGGUGAGCGAGCGAACUCUCGUUAAGGAACUCGGCAAAAUGACCCCGUAACUUCGGGAGAAGGGGUGCUCUUUAGGGUUAACGCCCAGAAGAGCCGCAGUGAAUAGGCCCAAGCGACUGUUUAUCAAAAACACAGGUCUCUGCUAAACCGUAAGGUGAUGUAUAGGGGCUGACGCCUGCCCGGUGCUGGAAGGUUAAGAGGAGUGGUUAGCUUCUGCGAAGCUACGAAUCGAAGCCCCAGUAAACGGCGGCCGUAACUAUAACGGUCCUAAGGUAGCGAAAUUCCUUGUCGGGUAAGUUCCGACCCGCACGAAAGGCG
Molecule: ribosomal RNA, 2002 nt
Filed under: Staphylococcus aureus
Lineage: Bacteria; Bacillati; Bacillota; Bacilli; Caryophanales; Staphylococcaceae
Description: partial 23S ribosomal RNA
Rfam family: Bacterial large subunit ribosomal RNA
Source: RNAcentral